This 779-nucleotide non-coding RNA is filed under the name Cryptocelis alba. RNAcentral's name for it is "12S ribosomal RNA". The stretch from base 371 to 778 matches the Rfam family "Microsporidia small subunit ribosomal RNA", at positions 752 to 1303 of the family's 1311-position model. The record is from RNAcentral. Lineage: Eukaryota; Metazoa; Platyhelminthes; Polycladida; Cryptocelidae.
AAUUUAUUUGGUUUUGGUAAGAUAAAGGAUGGACAUUAAAACGAGCAUAAAAAAAUUUUAGAAGUUUAUAACUUUAAGUUUUAGGUUAUAGAAUUUAGUCGUGAAUUUUUAUUAAUAAAAACGAAAGUUUGUUUAAGUUGAUGUCAGAAAGGGGCUAAUAGUAGGUGCCAGCAGCUGCGGUUAAACCUAUUCUUAUCUUUAUUUUCGGGUUAAAUACAAAUAAAUUAUGGUUAGUUUGGGAGAAAAUAAAUUAUUUCGGUUAAAUGGUAAUAAUUUUAUUAUUCAAACCCCAAAUAUGUAAAUUGUGAAAAUCACCACAAAAACUAAGAUUAGAUACCUUAUUAUUGGUGAAGGUAAAUAAACAUACCCAGAGUAGUAAGUGUUUUGAAACUCAAAAGACCUGGCGGUGGAUGCUUCCUACCAGAGGAGCGUGCUAGGUAAUAGAUAGUCCGCUAAGUAAUAAACCUUUCUUAUUUUAGUCAGUGUACGGCCGCUUGCAGGUAUUUCUUAUUGGAAACAUAAACUCCCUAUAACAUACUACUAGCUAGUUAAGACAGGUCAAUGUGCUGCUGAUAGAAAGGGUCAGAAGGUUCGCUAUUUUAAUAUUAGGCAAAAGAUAUUACGCUGUAAAGUUUGAUGGAAUUCAGAUUUGGAAGUAACAAGAUAUAAAAUAUGUAUCUGUGAAUAAAAGGUAAAGCUCUGUGUACACAUCGCCCGUCGUUCUUUUCCAACGAAAAGAGAAGUCGUAACAUGGUAGCCUUAAUAGAAAUUGAGGCUUA